Molecule: ribosomal RNA, 396 nt
Filed under: uncultured bacterium
Lineage: Bacteria
Description: partial 16S ribosomal RNA
Rfam family: Bacterial small subunit ribosomal RNA
Source: RNAcentral
AUACGUAGGGAGCGAGCGUUGUCCGGAAUUACUGGGUGUAAAGGGAGCGUAGGCGGGAUGGCAAGUCAGAUGUGAAAACUAUGGGCUCAACCCAUAGACUGCAUUUGAAACUGUUGUUCUUGAGUGAAGUAGAGGUAAGCGGAAUUCCUGGUGUAGCGGUGAAAUGCGUAGAUAUCAGGAGGAACAUCGGUGGCGAAGGCGGCUUACUGGGCUUUUACGGACGCUGAGGCUCGAAAGCGUGGGGAGCAAACAGGAUUAGAUACCCUGGUAGUCCACGCUGUAAACGAUGAUUACUAGGUGUGGGGGGACUGACCCCUUCCGUGCCGCAGUUAACACAAUAAGUAAUCCACCUGGGGAGUACGGCCGCAAGGUUGAAACUCAAAUGAAUUGACGGGG